GUAGGUGACAGCUUGUCCGCAUUUAUUGGGCGUUAAGCGNNNNNNNGCGGUCUUUAAGUCUGAUGUGAAAAGCCCACGGCUCAACCGUGGAGGGUCAUUGGAAACUGGAAGNCUUGAAUCCAGAAGAGGAAAGUGGAAUUCCAUGUGUAGCGGUGAAAUGCGUAGAUAUAUGGAGGAACACCAGUGGCGAAGGCGACUUUCUGGUCUGUAAUUGACGCUGAGGCUCGAAAGCGUGGGGAGCGAACAGGAUUAGAUACCCUGGUAGUCCACGCCGUAAACGAUGAGUGCUAAGUGUUGGAGGGUUUCCGCCCUUCAGUGCUGGMKAACGCAUUAAGCACUCCGCC
RNAcentral lists this ribosomal RNA (344 nucleotides) under uncultured bacterium. RNAcentral's name for it is "partial 16S ribosomal RNA". It matches the Rfam family "Bacterial small subunit ribosomal RNA", at positions 527 to 873 of the family's 1533-position model. The record is from RNAcentral.